RNAcentral lists this long non-coding RNA (1361 nucleotides) under Mytilus galloprovincialis (Mediterranean mussel). The record is from RNAcentral. Lineage: Eukaryota; Metazoa; Mollusca; Bivalvia; Mytilida; Mytilidae.
UUUUCCUAAGAAGCAACUCGGACAUCUGACUCCAAAGUUUGUAUAACCAACAGAAUAUAUGACGGUAAGGAAAACAAGAUAUGUUAUAAAAAAUAUAUCGGGGAUAGUGGCACCAUUUAGAGUUCACUUUUAUCAAAUAGGGUUUGAAAGAAGUACACAAAAACAUGUGUGAAAUGAUAUUGACAUAAUUGUCCAUUGUUGUUUAGACCAUGUAGAUAUUUUAUAAUUUGAAAGUCAACAUUACUGAUGGAAUUAUAAUAAAAGUUAUAAAUAUAUAAUCAUUGUAUCAAUUUUCAGUAAACAGUACAUAACUAUAAAAAUUGCCCGCCAAACAUGUUUAGCCCCGCCCCAUUAUGUAUGGAGUCAGGAGCCUGUAAUUCACUCAUGUGUUGCUGUGUAACAUAUUGUUACGCCCCGGUGAUUUGAAAGAUGAUGUUUUUAGUGUGGUCUCCGUUCCACACUUGAUACACGCAGAUGUCCGUUGUUGUUUCAAAUUACACACGUUGUAUAAAAUACGGAACGCAUGUUCCUACGUUGAGCUUCUCUCCAAAAACCUCAAUGCAGUUAGCAGUCUCUCUUACACUAAAAUUUGCUGCACCAAGUAAGAGCACUUGGUGAUAAUGCAGUGCACCAAGUAGAUUUUAAUGCACCAAGUAUGCAGAGUAUUUGAAAGCAGUGCACCAAGUAGAUCUUCUUGCGCCGAGCAAUUGUUUAUUAAACUUGGUGCAAAUAAUGCACUUUGCCGUAUUGUUUAUUAAUUAUAACGUAUUUUGUUUCAUGAACCACUAUAUUUGUUGAAUUGUUCAAAUAGAAAUAAUACAAUAUUAUGAACUUCCAUUAUGAUUUUUAUUAUUACUUUCUUCACCGGAGGCCCACAAAAGUAACUACGGAUGUAUAUCCUGACAAGAAAACCCCGGAACAUUACAAUAUUUGUAUGAAUAUGAAUAGCAUAAUUAUCGAUAAAGAACGUAUAUGAUGAAGCUUAUUUUGUUUGUUUAGGUCUAUACAGAAGAAUACAUGUGUUGAUUUGUACGGCAUAAAUAUCAGGUGUCCACAAAAUCUAAUCACCAUAGGCAUUACCAUUGUUUCUGAAUACAUGUCACCUUGAUAAAGUGGGGUUUGACAAUGUUAAUCAAAUGUAAAACUCAAUGUAUAACACUUAGCCAUAUCUAUUAUAGUCACAUCACUAUUACCAGACAGUGCCCAAUCAAUAUCUGCACAGAACGAAGGUUUGAAAUCUGACGGGACAGAUCUUUCUAGAUUGGAUGAAAACACAAACAAUAAAGCUGUAAUUAUUAGUGCAGUAGUUGGGUCUAUUGGUUUAGCUAUAAUCAUCAUUAUUGUUAUCACUUUGUAUAAAU